GACGAACGCUGGCGGCGUGCUUAACACAUGCAAGUCGAACGGAAAGGCCCUGCUUUUGUGGGGUUCUCGAGUGGCGAACGGGUGAGUAACACGUGAGUAACCUGCCCUUGACUUUGGGAUAACUUCAGGAAACUGGGGCUAAUACCGGAUAGGAGCUCCUGCUGCAUGGUGGGGGUUGGAAAGUUUCGGCGGUUGGGGAUGGACUCGCGGCUUAUCAGCUUGUUGGUUGGGUAGUUGCUUACCAAGGCUUUGACGGGUAGCCGGCCUGAGAGGGUGACCGGCGACAAGACGCCUGAGAUAGGGCCCAGACGCCAACGGGAGGCAGCGGGGGGGAGUAUGGCACAGUGGGCGGAAGCCUGAUGAAGCAACGCCGCGUGUGGGAAGACGGCCUUCGGGUUAUAAACCGCUUUCGCUUGUGACGAAGCGUGAGUGACGGUAAUGGGUAAAGAAGCACCGGCUAACUACGUG
This 468-nucleotide ribosomal RNA is filed under the name uncultured bacterium. RNAcentral's name for it is "partial 16S ribosomal RNA". It matches the Rfam family "Bacterial small subunit ribosomal RNA", at positions 28 to 507 of the family's 1533-position model. The record is from RNAcentral.